Long non-coding RNA from Mytilus trossulus (common blue mussel), 476 nucleotides. RefSeq lists it as uncharacterized. The record is from RefSeq and is a predicted model, not a curated record. NCBI's taxonomy places the organism in Eukaryota, Metazoa, Mollusca, Bivalvia, Mytilida, Mytilidae. The transcript has 4 exons.
UAAAUACUCUAAAUUGUUACUUCAAUCUCCCAAAUGUAAAUUUUGGUCAUACCUAAUCUUAUUUUUUCAUAUUUGGCACUUUUUUCUACUUCAGUUCUAGCUGUCUAGUUUUGGCGAAGAACCCAUCCUGAUGUCCGGGUAACAGGAAUUUCUGCAGAGUGAUUGUCAAUGACAUUUUGUGAAAUUUACAAUUCUAGCUGUCUAGUUUUGGCGAAGAACCCAUCCUGAUGUCCGGGUAACAGGAAUUUCUGCAGAGUGAUUGUCAAUGACAUUUUGUGUAAUUAACAAUUCUAGCUGUCUAGUUUUGGCGAAGAACCCAUCCUGAUGUCCGGGUAACAGGAAUUUCUGCAGAGUGAUUGUCAAUGACAUUUUGUGUAAUUAACAAUUCUAGCUGUCUAGUUUUGGCGAAGAACCCAUCCUGAUGUCCGGGUAACAGGAAUUUCUGCAGAGUGAUUGUCAAUGACAUUUUGUGUAAU